RNAcentral lists this ribosomal RNA (346 nucleotides) under uncultured bacterium. RNAcentral's name for it is "partial 16S ribosomal RNA". It matches the Rfam family "Bacterial small subunit ribosomal RNA", at positions 338 to 681 of the family's 1533-position model. The record is from RNAcentral.
CCUACGGGUGGCAGCAGUGAGGAAUAUUGGUCAAUGGACGAGAGUCUGAACCAGCCAAGUAGCGUGAAGGAUGACUGCCCUAUGGGUUGUAAACUUCUUUUAUAAAGGAAUAAAACGAGGCACGUGUGCCGUUUUGCAUGUACGUUAUGAAUAAGGAUCGGCUAACUCCGUGCCAGCAGCCGCGGUAAUACGGAGGAUCCGAGCGUUAUCCGGAGUGAGUGGGUGGAAAGGGAGCGUAGAUGGGUUGUUAAGUCAGUGGGGAAAGUUUGCGGCUCAACCGUAAAAGUGCAAGUGAUACUGGCAGUCUUGAGUACAGUUGCGGUAGGCGCAAUUCGUGGUGUAGCGG